UUUCGGGUAGACCUCCUCAGCAUGGUCGAUUUCUCGUCCGCUCAAAUUCGCCGUCCUCCAGGGUCUUUGCAAUGUGACCUUCCCAAUAUGGGCGACUUCCGGUCAGUUUUUCUUAAUCAUCCUUCCACUUCCUUUUUUUCGGGGAUCUUCUGGGCAGGGCGGACUCCAGUCCGAUCAACGAGGAGGGCACAGUUUUCCGUUCCGUAGCAUGACAUCCGACGACGACAUUCCCAGUACGGCCGAGUUCCUGUCCAUCCGCCGAGGCCGUACUCAACUUUCUGUCCGUUGGCAGCACGGUUCCCUGCUUUUUCCCGUGCUCUUUUCUGCACUACGUUGACGGAGCCGCAGGAAGGAAAAAAGGAAGCCUGCUACUGCCUCAGCUCCUUUUUAGAGGCGGGGCCGGCGGGGCACGUUCCAGGCUUUUGCCGUUCGGGUCGGGAAGGGGGUUCCGACCCGUCUCGGGGGUCUCCUCGAAGGCUGCCAAGCAAGGCAGCCGUUGAAUGGUGUUUUCCCAGCGCCCGAGUCCCGGAUGUAGAAGAACCAGUCGUAUCG
Molecule: long non-coding RNA, 552 nt
Organism: Crotalus tigris (Tiger rattlesnake)
Lineage: Eukaryota; Metazoa; Chordata; Lepidosauria; Squamata; Viperidae
Exons: 3
Source: RefSeq, a predicted model, not a curated record